AUUAUCUGAGGACAGAACGGGCAUCUGUCGCCCUUUGUUGGAGAUGUAGGAAUGUCACCUACCUAUAAU
Molecule: non-coding RNA, 69 nt
Filed under: unclassified sequences
Description: skipping-rope RNA
Rfam family: skipping-rope RNA
About the family: Firmicutes, Fusobacteria, AlphaProteobacteria, Spirochaetes. Downstream gene
Source: Rfam by way of RNAcentral